CCCAAGAGAUCGGGAUAACACCUGGAAACAGAUGCUAAUACCGGAUAAUAACAGAUGAUGCCUAUCAACUGUUUAAAAGAUGGUUCUGCUAUCACUCUUGGAUGGACCUGCGGUGCAUUAGCUAGUUGGUAGGGUAACGGCCUGCCAAGGCGAUGAUGCAUAGCCGAGUUGAGAGACUGAUCGGCCACAUUGGGACUGAGACACGGCCCAAACUCCUACGGGAGGCAGCAGCA
This 233-nucleotide ribosomal RNA is filed under the name uncultured Lactobacillus sp. Its description in RNAcentral is "partial 16S ribosomal RNA". It matches the Rfam family "Bacterial small subunit ribosomal RNA", at positions 129 to 355 of the family's 1533-position model. The record is from RNAcentral. Lineage: Bacteria; Bacillati; Bacillota; Bacilli; Lactobacillales; Lactobacillaceae.